Molecule: ribosomal RNA, 253 nt
Filed under: uncultured bacterium
Lineage: Bacteria
Description: partial 16S ribosomal RNA
Rfam family: Bacterial small subunit ribosomal RNA
Source: RNAcentral
UACGUAGGGUGCAAGCGUUGUCCGGAAUUAUUGGGCGUAAAGAGCUCGUAGGCGGUCUGUCGCGUCUGGUGUGAAAACUCAGGGCUUAACCCUGAGCUUGCAUCGGGUACGGGCAGACUAGAGUGCGGUAGGGGAGACUGGAAUUCCUGGUGUAGCGGUGAAAUGCGCAGAUAUCAGGAGGAACACCCGUGGCGAAGGCGGCUCUCUGGGACGGUACUGACGCUGAGACGCGAAAGCGUGGGGAGCGAACAGG